Molecule: ribosomal RNA, 119 nt
Filed under: Betta splendens (Siamese fighting fish)
Lineage: Eukaryota; Metazoa; Chordata; Actinopteri; Anabantiformes; Osphronemidae
Source: RNAcentral
GCUUACGGCCAUACCACCCUGAGCACGCCAGAUUUCGUCUGAUCUCGGAGGCUAAGCAGGGUCGGGCCUGGUUAGUACUUGGAUGGGAGACCGUCUGGCAAUACCAGGUGCUGUAAGCU